This 497-nucleotide ribosomal RNA is filed under the name uncultured bacterium. RNAcentral describes it as "partial 16S ribosomal RNA". It matches the Rfam family "Bacterial small subunit ribosomal RNA", at positions 28 to 507 of the family's 1533-position model. The record is from RNAcentral.
GAUGAACGCUGGCGGCGUGCCUAAUACAUGCAAGUCGAGCGAACAGACGAGGAGCUUGCUCCUCUGACGUUAGCGGCGGACGGGUGAGUAACACGUGGAUAACCUACCUAUAAGACUGGGAUAACUUCGGGAAACCGGAGCUAAUACCGGAUAAUAUAUUGAACCGCAUGGUUCAAUAGUGAAAGACGGUUUUGCUGUCACUUAUAGAUGGAUCCGCGCCGCAUUAGCUAGUUGGUAAGGUAACGGCUUACCAAGGCGACGAUGCGUAGCCGACCUGAGAGGGUGAUCGGCCACACUGGAACUGAGACACGGUCCAGACUCCUACGGGAGGCAGCAGUAGGGAAUCUUCGGCAAUGGGCGAAAGCCUGACGGAGCAACGCCGCGUGAGUGAAGAAGGUCUUCGGAUCGUAAAACGCUGUUAUUAGGGAAGAACAAAUGUGUAAGUAACUAUGCACGUCUUGACGGUACCUAAUCAGAAAGCCACGGCUAACUACGUG